This 357-nucleotide ribosomal RNA is filed under the name Rhipicephalus sanguineus (brown dog tick). Its description in RNAcentral is "eukaryotic LSU rRNA". It matches the Rfam family "Eukaryotic large subunit ribosomal RNA", at positions 646 to 964 of the family's 3401-position model. The record is from RNAcentral. Lineage: Eukaryota; Metazoa; Arthropoda; Arachnida; Ixodida; Ixodidae.
GACCCGUCUUGAAACACGGACCAAGGAGUCUAACAUGUGCGCGAGUCAAUGGGUCUCCCGAAACCCAAUGGCGCAAUGAAACGUGAAGGCCCCUAGUGGGCUGCGUUGCGAUCCCGGACCGYACAGGGGUCCGAUAAAGGGCGCAGCAACGGCCCGUCCCAGGCGCUCACACGUCGCCGGGGCGGAGCGAGAGCGCACACGUUGGCACCCGAAAGAUGGUGAACUAUGCCCGGGCAGGACGAGGCCAGAGGAAACUCUGGUGGAGGUCCGAAGCGAUUCUGACGUGCAAAUCGAUCGUCCGAUCCGGGUAUAGGGGCGAAAGACCAAUCGAACCAUCUAGUAGCUGGUUCCUUCCGA